Molecule: ribosomal RNA, 403 nt
Filed under: uncultured bacterium
Lineage: Bacteria
Description: partial 16S ribosomal RNA
Rfam family: Bacterial small subunit ribosomal RNA
Source: RNAcentral
AUUGAACGCUGGCGGCAGGCCUAACACAUGCAAGUCGAGCGAGCGGCGGACGGGUGAGUAAUGUAUGGGGACUGCCCGAUAGAGGGGGAUAACUACUGGAAACGGUAGCUAAUACCGCAUACUAUCGGAUAACCCAUAUGGGACUAGCUAGUAGGUGAGGUAAUGGCUCACCUAGGCGACGAUCCCUAGCUGGUCUGAGAGGAUGAUCAGCUAACAGGGGACAGAGACACGGCCCAGACUCCUGCGGGGGCAGCAGUGGGGAAUAUUGCACAAUGGGGGCAAGCCUGAUGCAGCCAUGCCGAGUGUAGGAAGAAAGCCCUAGGGUUGUAAAGUACUUUCAGUCGGGAGGCGUUACCAACAGAAGAAGCACCGGCUAACUCCGUGCCAGCCGCCGCGGUAAUUC